Molecule: ribosomal RNA, 326 nt
Filed under: uncultured bacterium
Lineage: Bacteria
Description: bacterial SSU rRNA
Rfam family: Bacterial small subunit ribosomal RNA
Source: RNAcentral
AUUGAACGCUGGCGGCAUGCCUUACACAUGCAAGUCGAGCGCGAAAGGGGGCAACCCCGAGUAGAGCGGCGGACGGGUGAGUAACACAUCGGAACGUGCCCAGUAGUGGGGGACAACCUCGAGAAAUCGAGGCUAAUACCGCAUACGACCCACGGGUGAAAGCGGGGGACCGCAAGGCCUCGCGCUGUUGGAGCGGCCGAUGUCCGAUUAGCUAGUUGGCGGGGUAAGAGCCCACCAAGGCGACGAUCGGCAGCUGGUCUGAGAGGACGACCAGCCACACUGGGACUGAGACACGGCCCAGACUCCUACGGGAGGCAGCAGUGGGG